GACGAACGCUGGCGGCGUGCUUAACACAUGCAAGUCGAGCGACGCUCUUCCUUCGGGGAGAUGACGGAGCGGCGAACGGGUGAGUAACACGUGGGCAACCUGCCCCUAGCUCUGGGACAACACCGGGAAACCGGUGCUAAUACCGGAUACGACAUCGAGCGGCAUCUCUCGAUGUGGAAAGUUUUUUCGGCUAGGGAUGGGCCCGCGGCCUAUCAGCUUGUUGGUGGGGUAAUGGCCCACCAAGGCGACGACGGGUAGCCGGCCUGAGAGGGCGACCGGCCACACGGGGACUGAGACACGGCCCAGACUCCUACGGGAGGCAGCAGUGGGGAAUAUUGCGCAAGGGGCGAAAGCCUGACGCAGCGACGCCGCGUGAGGGAGGACGGCCUUCGGGUUGUAAACCUCUUUCAGCAGGGACGAAUUCAGACGGUACCUGCAGAAGAAGCACCGGCCAACUACGUG
Molecule: ribosomal RNA, 462 nt
Filed under: uncultured bacterium
Lineage: Bacteria
Description: partial 16S ribosomal RNA
Rfam family: Bacterial small subunit ribosomal RNA
Source: RNAcentral